AACACGUGAGUAACCUGCCCUUGACUCUGGGAUAAGCCUGGGAAACUGGGUCUAAUACCGGAUAUGACCUUCUGACGCAUGUCAGGGGGUGGAAAGCUUUUGUGGUUUUGGAUGGACUCGCGGCCUAUCAGCUUGUUGGUGGGGUAAUGGCCUACCAAGGCGACGACGGGUAGCCGGCCUGAGAGGGUGACCGGCCACACUGGGACUGAGACACGGCCCAGACUCCUACGGGAGGCAGCAGUGGGGAAUAUUGCACAAUGGGCGCAAGCCUGAUGCAGCGACGCCGCGUGAGGGAUGACGGCCUUCGGGUUGUAAACCUCUUUCAGUAGGGAAGAAGCGAAAGUGACGGUACCUGCAGAAGAAGCGCCGGCUAACUACGUGCCAGCAGCCGCGGUAAUACGUAGGGCGCAAGCGUUAUCCGGAAUUAUUGGGCGUAAAGAGCUCGUAGGCGGUUUGUCGCGUCUGCUGUGAAAGACCGGGGCUCAACUCCGGUUCUGCAGUGGGUACGGGCAGACUAGAGUGCAGUAGGGGAGACUGGAAUUCCUGGUGUAGCGGUGAAAUGCGCAGAUAUCAGGAGGAACACCGAUGGCGAAGGCAGGUCUCUGGGCUGUAACUGACGCUGAGGAGCGAAAGCAUGGGGAGCGAACAGGAUUAGAUACCCUGGUAGUCCAUGCCGUAAACGUUGGGCACUAGGUG
Molecule: ribosomal RNA, 696 nt
Filed under: Arthrobacter sp. A23MGP
Lineage: Bacteria; Bacillati; Actinomycetota; Actinomycetes; Micrococcales; Micrococcaceae
Also listed under: 1 other name
Description: bacterial SSU rRNA
Rfam family: Bacterial small subunit ribosomal RNA
Source: RNAcentral